GCCGUUGAAAUAUAUAGGUCGAUGCCUGACUGUUAAUCAAUUGGUCGUAGGUUCGAUCCCUACCGCCGGAGCCA
This 74-nucleotide transfer RNA is filed under the name Paracoccus pantotrophus. Its description in RNAcentral is "tRNA_Asn_GTT". The record is from RNAcentral. Lineage: Bacteria; Pseudomonadati; Pseudomonadota; Alphaproteobacteria; Rhodobacterales; Paracoccaceae.